Molecule: ribosomal RNA, 870 nt
Filed under: uncultured crenarchaeote
Lineage: Archaea; Thermoproteati; Thermoproteota
Description: bacterial SSU rRNA
Rfam family: Archaeal small subunit ribosomal RNA
Source: RNAcentral
AGAAUGCUAGUUGAGCGCUUCCAGCCAAUACGGGAGCGCAGCGCACAGCUCAGUAACACGUGGCUAAUCUGCCCUUGGGACCGGAACACCCCCGGGAAACUGGGGCUAAUUCUCGAUAGGUGAAGAACUCUGGAAUGAGUCUUCGCUUAAAAGACGUUUACGUUAUGCUCGUAGGCGUCGCCCAAGGAUGAGGCCGCGACCGAUCAGGUUGUUGGUGAGGUAAUGGCUCACCAAGCCUUUUACCGGUGCGGGCCGUGAGAGCGGGAGCCCGGAGAUGGGCACUGAGACAAGGGCCCAGGCCCUACGGGGCGCAGCAGUCGCGAAAACUUUGCAAUACACGAAAGUGUGACAGGGCUAUCCCGAGUGCCAUCCGCUGAGGAAGGCUUUUACCCAGUCUAGAACGCUGGGGGAAUAAGGAGAGGGCAAGUCUGGUGUCAGCCGCCGCGGUAAUACCAGCUCUCCGAGUGGUGUGGAUGUUUAUUGGGCCUAAAGCAUCCGUAGCUGGCUGAGUUAGUCCCUUGUUAAAUCCACCGAAUUAAUCGUUGGAUUGCGGGGGAUACUGCUCGGCUAGGGGACGAGAGAGGCAGACGGUAUUUCCGGGGUAGGGGUGAAAUCCUAUAAUCCCGGGAAGACCACCAGUGGCGAAGGCUGUCUGCUAGAACGCGCCCGACGGUGAGGGAUGAAAGCUGGGGGAGCGAACCGGAUUAGAUACCCGGGUAGUCCCAGCUGUAAACGAUGCAGGCUANGUGUUUGGACGGCCACGUGCCGUUCUAGUGCCGCAGGGAAGCUGUUAAGCCUGCCNNCCUGGGGAGUACGAUCGCAAGAUUUGAAACUUAAAGGAAUUGGCGGGGANCACAAGGGCGAAUUCCA